RNAcentral lists this ribosomal RNA (426 nucleotides) under uncultured bacterium. RNAcentral describes it as "bacterial SSU rRNA". It matches the Rfam family "Bacterial small subunit ribosomal RNA", at positions 354 to 796 of the family's 1533-position model. The record is from RNAcentral.
GUGAGGAAUAUUCGUCAAUGGGGGAAACCCUGAACGAGCAACGCCGCGUGGAGGAUGAAGGCUUUCGGGUCGUAAACUCCUUUUCAGGGAGACGAGAAAGGACGGUAUCCCUGGAAUAAGUCACGGCUAACUACGUGCCAGCAGCCGCGGUAAUACGUAGGUGACGAGCGUUAUCCGGAUUUACUGGGCGUAAAGCGCUUGUAGGUGGUUUUGUAAGUUGGACGUUAAAUCUCCAGGCUCAACUUGGAGAGGCCGUUCAAUACUGCAAGACUAGAGGAUGUCAGAGGAAGGUGGAAUUCCAGGUGUAGUAGUGAAAUGCGUAGAUAUCUGGAGGAACACCCAUGGCGAAGGCAGCCUUCUGGGACAUUCCUGACACUGAGAAGCGAAAGCUAGGGGAGCAAACAGGAUUAGAAACCCGAGUAGUCC